UGAGUAACGCGUAAAGAACUUGCCCUUUAGACUGGGAUAACAGAGGGAAACUUCUGAUAAUACUGGAUAAGUUAGUAUAUCGCAUGAUAUACAAAUGAAAGCUACGGCACUAAAGGAGAGCUUUGCGUCCUAUUAGCUAGUUGGUAAGGUAAGAGCUUACCAAGGCGAUGAUAGGUAGCCGGCCUGAGAGGGUGGACGGCCACAAGGGGACUGAGAUACGGCCCUUACUCCUACGGGAGGCAGCAGUA
Molecule: ribosomal RNA, 248 nt
Filed under: uncultured Leptotrichia sp.
Lineage: Bacteria; Fusobacteriati; Fusobacteriota; Fusobacteriia; Fusobacteriales; Leptotrichiaceae
Description: partial 16S ribosomal RNA
Rfam family: Bacterial small subunit ribosomal RNA
Source: RNAcentral